CCUACGGGAGGCAGCAGUGGGGAAUUUUGGACAAUGGGCGCAAGCCUGAUCCAGCAAUGCCGCGUGAGUGAAGAAGGCCUUCGGGUUGUAAAGCUCUUUUGUCAGGGAAGAAACGGUCUACUCUAAUACAGUGGGCUAAUGACGGUACCUGAAGAAUAAGCACCGGCUAACUACGUGCCAGCAGCCGCGGUAAUACGUAGGGUGCAAGCGUUAAUCGGAAUUACUGGGCGUAAAGCGUGCGCAGGCGGUUAUAUAAGUCAGAUGUGAAAUCCCCGGGCUCAACCUGGGAACUGCAUUUGAGACUGUAUGGCUAGAGUGUGUCAGAGGGGGGUAGAAUUCCACGUGUAGCAGUGAAAUGCGUAGAUAUGUGGAGGAAUACCGAUGGCGAAGGCAGCCCCCUGGGAUAACACUGACGCUCAUGCACGAAAGCGUGGGGAGCAAACAGGAUUAGAUACCCUGGUAGUCCACGCCCUAAACGAUGUCUACUAGUUGUCGGGACUUAAUUGUCUUGGUAACGCAGCUAACGCGUGAAGUAGACCGCCUGGGGGAGGUACGGUCGCGAGAGUAAACGUAACGAAAGAAAGUUAGUACGGCGUGAGACGUAGCCGACGGACGACGACCGAGGGGAGGGUUAGGGAG
RNAcentral lists this ribosomal RNA (639 nucleotides) under uncultured bacterium. Its description in RNAcentral is "partial 16S ribosomal RNA". The stretch from base 1 to 542 matches the Rfam family "Bacterial small subunit ribosomal RNA", at positions 338 to 873 of the family's 1533-position model. The record is from RNAcentral.